This 815-nucleotide ribosomal RNA is filed under the name Escherichia coli. RNAcentral's name for it is "partial 23S ribosomal RNA". It matches the Rfam family "Bacterial large subunit ribosomal RNA", at positions 1 to 859 of the family's 2925-position model. The record is from RNAcentral. Lineage: Bacteria; Pseudomonadati; Pseudomonadota; Gammaproteobacteria; Enterobacterales; Enterobacteriaceae.
GGUUAAGCGACUAAGCGUACACGGUGGAUGCCCUGGCAGUCAGAGGCGAUGAAGGACGUGCUAAUCUGCGAUAAGCGUCGGUGAGGUGAUAUGAACCGUUAUAACCGGCGAUUUCCGAAUGGGGAAACCCAGUGUGUUUCGACACACUAUCAUUAACUGAAUCCAUAGGUUAAUGAGGCGAACCGGGGGAACUGAAACAUCUAAGUACCCCGAGGAAAAGAAAUCAACCGAGAUUCCCCCAGUAGCGGCGAGCGAACGGGGAGGAGCCCAGAGCCUGAAUCAGUGUGUGUGUUAGUGGAAGCGUCUGGAAAGGCGUGCGAUACAGGGUGACAGCCCCGUACACAAAAAUGCACAUACUGUGAGCUCGAUGAGUAGGGCGGGACACGUGGUAUCCUGUCUGAAUAUGGGGGGACCAUCCUCCAAGGCUAAAUACUCCUGACUGACCGAUAGUGAACCAGUACCGUGAGGGAAAGGCGAAAAGAACCCCGGCGAGGGGAGUGAAAAAGAACCUGAAACCGUGUACGUACAAGCAGUGGGAGCCUCUUAAUGGGGUGACUGCGUACCUUUUGUAUAAUGGGUCAGCGACUUAUAUUCUGUAGCAAGGUUAACCGAAUAGGGGAGCCGAAGGGAAACCGAGUCUUAACUGGGCGUUAAGUUGCAGGGUAUAGACCCGAAACCCGGUGAUCUAGCCAUGGGCAGGUUGAAGGUUGGGUAACACUAACUGGAGGACCGAACCGACUAAUGUUGAAAAAUUAGCGGAUGACUUGUGGCUGGGGGUGAAAGGCCAAUCAAACCGGGAGAUAGCUGGUUCUCCC